UACGGUGAAUACGUUCCCGGGCCUUGUACACACCGCCCGUCACACCAUGGGAGUGGGUUGCAAAAGAAGUAGGUAGCUUAACCUUCGGGAGGGCGCUUACCACUUUGUGAUUCAUGACUGGGGUGAAGUCGUAACAAGGUAACCGUAGGGGAACCNUGCGGUUGGAUCACCUCCUUACCUUAAAGAA
Molecule: ribosomal RNA, 187 nt
Filed under: Klebsiella pneumoniae
Lineage: Bacteria; Pseudomonadati; Pseudomonadota; Gammaproteobacteria; Enterobacterales; Enterobacteriaceae
Description: partial 16S ribosomal RNA
Rfam family: Bacterial small subunit ribosomal RNA
Source: RNAcentral